UACUGUUUCUGCCAUCGAAACGAUAGUAGAAUUUCUGUUUAGUGCAUCGCUCCCCAGAGGUCUCUGAUUAAAUCGAAAAAUUUGUGAUGGAGUCCGCAAUCGGAUGUUUGAAUUGCCUUUUCUCCGUUUUCUUAUUUACUGUUUUAAUUUGUGUACAAAAUAUCUACAUCAAUGCACAUGAUCUAAUAAAGACAAUUGAGAAUAAUGGAACAGUUUUUGACUUUCCUGACUUUGAUGCAACUGAACCUCCGAAUUUAGAAAAUCGUGUAAGUAUUUUUAAAGUGUUAAAACUUGGGGGGUUUACUGACUAUUCAAAAAUUUAAAAAAUUAAAAACAAAAGAUUUAAAAUAUAAAAUAUGGUGAAACCUAUGUAAACUGCAAUUGUACAGAACUGAAUUAUUUUUUCCAUCUUGGCAGGUUUCCCUUUUGAACUGGGUUGUCUUUCUUUUUUCUUUAAACUAAAUCAGAUAAAUGUCAUAUAGUUACAUUCAAUUUUUAUAAUAAAAUCAUUUUAACAUACAUAAAAAAACUUUUAUUAAUAUGCUUAAUUCAAAGUGAUUUUAACUAAAGGUGGGAAUAUUUGAAUGUAAGAAUUGAGACCUUUUGAUUGCAAGAAGUUCUAAUUGUUCCCUAGAACUUGUGCUAGGUACAGUGGUACCUCAGGAUAUGAAAUUAAUCCGUUUCAAAACUGAGAUUGUAUCAUGAAAAUGUCGUAAGG
Molecule: long non-coding RNA, 718 nt
Organism: Centruroides sculpturatus (bark scorpion)
Lineage: Eukaryota; Metazoa; Arthropoda; Arachnida; Scorpiones; Buthidae
Exons: 3
Source: RefSeq, a predicted model, not a curated record